AAACCAGCACCUCAAGUGGUCAGGAUGAUUAUUGGGCCUAAAGCAUCCGUAGCCGGCUCUGUAAGUUUUCGGUUAAAUCUGUACGCUUAACGUACAGGCUGCUGGGAAUACUGCAAGGCUAGGGAGUGGGAGAGGUAGACGGUACUCGGGAGGAAGGGGUAAAAUCCUUUGAUCUCUCGAUGACCACCUGUGGCGAAGGCGGUCUACCAGAACACGUCCGACGGUGAGGGAUGAAAGCUGGGGGAGCAAACCGGAUUAGAAACCCGAGUAGUCC
This 274-nucleotide ribosomal RNA is filed under the name uncultured bacterium. RNAcentral describes it as "partial 16S ribosomal RNA". It matches the Rfam family "Archaeal small subunit ribosomal RNA", at positions 473 to 747 of the family's 1478-position model. The record is from RNAcentral.